RNAcentral lists this ribosomal RNA (465 nucleotides) under uncultured Klebsiella sp. RNAcentral describes it as "bacterial SSU rRNA". It matches the Rfam family "Bacterial small subunit ribosomal RNA", at positions 338 to 795 of the family's 1533-position model. The record is from RNAcentral. Lineage: Bacteria; Pseudomonadati; Pseudomonadota; Gammaproteobacteria; Enterobacterales; Enterobacteriaceae.
CCUACGGGGGGCUGCAGUGGGGAAUAUUGCACAAUGGGCGCAAGCCUGAUGCAGCCAUGCCGCGUGUGUGAAGAAGGCCUUCGGGUUGUAAAGCACUUUCAGCGGGGAGGAAGGCGUUAAGGUUAAUAACCUUGUCGAUUGACGUUACCCGCAGAAGAAGCACCGGCUAACUCCGUGCCAGCAGCCGCGGUAAUACGGAGGGUGCAAGCGUUAAUCGGAAUUACUGGGCGUAAAGCGCACGCAGGCGGUCUGUCAAGGCGGAUGUGAAAUCCCCGGGCUCAACCUGGGAACUGCAUUCGAAACUGGCAGGCUAGAGUCUUGUAGAGGGGGGUAGAAUUCCAGGUGUAGCGGUGAAAUGCGUAGAGAUCUGGAGGAAUACCGGUGGCGAAGGCGGCCCCCUGGACAAAGACUGACGCUCAGGUGCGAAAGCGUGGGGAGCAAACAGGAUUAGAUACCCUAGUAGUC